Molecule: ribosomal RNA, 249 nt
Filed under: uncultured bacterium
Lineage: Bacteria
Description: partial 16S ribosomal RNA
Rfam family: Bacterial small subunit ribosomal RNA
Source: RNAcentral
UUUGAUGGCGACCGGCGCACGGGUGAGUAACACGUAUCCAACCUGCCGAUGACUCGGGGAUAGCCUUUCGAAAGAAAGAUUAAUACCCGAUGGCAUAGUUCUUCCGCAUGGUGGAACUAUUAAAGAAUUUCGGUUGUCGAUGGGGAUGCGUUCCAUUAGGCAGUUGGCGGGGUAACGGCCCACCAAACCAACGAUGGAUAGGGGUUCUGAGAGGAAGGUCCCCCACAUUGGAACUGAGACACGGUCCAA